Molecule: long non-coding RNA, 390 nt
Filed under: Macaca nemestrina (pig-tailed macaque)
Lineage: Eukaryota; Metazoa; Chordata; Mammalia; Primates; Cercopithecidae
Description: lncRNA (ENSMNEG00000046039.1)
Source: RNAcentral
ACCAGCCCUUCUAAGGACAUUGAGGAUUUCUUCUCUCUGUUUUUCCCUCAUCAUCUUCUAAUUAUAACAUAGAGGUCAAAACUAAAGUGGUAAAAAGGAGGUAAGAAGAGAAAGUAGGAGCCGUAAAUGGAAAUACCCAAGGAAGGACUGAGAGGUAUAUAACCUCAGAGGAAACAAGCUCUACAUGUUUCUAUGCUUUCACCUAAAACGAGACAUCAGCAAGAAUCCCGCUCCUCCUGGAUACACCAGUUUUGGAUGUCAAACCGAAUACUCUAUUAUCUCUACAGAUCACGCUGACUCUUCACACUGUGGAACAUUUCAACUUCCUCUCCAACUGGCCUCAGGCGGCUGUCGGACUGGUGAACCUGUCUGGGGUAGACACAUCUCCCU